CUCAUAACAGUUGAAGCUAAGGGUGUCAGUGAAUCUAGCUCCUUGGGUGGACCUCGUGAGUUUGACUAGUCUCCCUCUCUUGUGACUGUAUCCCUUAUCCAAUGGAUGGUUCCUGUGUCCCUGUGUGUGUAUCUUGUGUCUCAUAGAGUGAUUUCCAAAAGAGCUGCUCAAGACAUCCAAGUGCCAACUCUCAGUGAGAACUCUUUCCUCUUGUCCUGGUCCUGCUACCUUCAAUUCCUUACCAUCUUUAUAUAUCAACUAAGGAACAGCAAGAUCACAGACUAUGUAGCAGGGAAUGGUGUGUAAGAAGACUGCAAAGGGAGGAAGGCAAUGGAAGCUAUGGAGAUCAAGGAAAAAACUAAAGUCAAGUAUAAUAUUUAAAAUGAAGUUUGAAUGAUGCUAGUUAUUCCAAGGGAAAGUGGUAAGAAAAAAAAACAGCACAUUAAAAUAUGGAAAUCUAUGUGCAGAGGUUUGUUGUGUUUCAGGUGUUAGACAUUUUCUUGGAGUAAUCUUUGGUGAUAUGGGAGUACAAACCAAAAUAUGACUAACCACAGAUACAAGAGGGGUGAUGUAUUGUGUUUCAUUUAAUUUUCCAUAUAAUCAUGGUUUAGGCAGACUACUUUUUAAAGUUCAAGUCAUUUUUUAUUUUAAUUUUGCUAAAAUGUAAUAAAUGGUUUGAAAGGUUCA
Molecule: long non-coding RNA, 687 nt
Filed under: Monodelphis domestica (gray short-tailed opossum)
Lineage: Eukaryota; Metazoa; Chordata; Mammalia; Didelphimorphia; Didelphidae
Description: lncRNA (ENSMODG00000046289.1)
Source: RNAcentral